UACAGAGGGUGCGAGCGUUGUUCGGAGUUAUUGGGCGUAAAGCGCUUGUAGGCGGCUUGUUAAGUUCCGUGUGAAAUCCCCAGGCUUAACCUGGGAAGUGCGCGGAAAACUGGCGAGCUUGAGUGCCGGAGAGGGUCGCGGAAUUCCCGGUGUAGAGGUGAAAUUCGUAGAUAUCGGGAGGAACACCAGUGGCGAAGGCGGCGACCUGGACGGACACUGACGCUGAGACGCGAAAGCGUGGGGAGCAAACAGG
RNAcentral lists this ribosomal RNA (253 nucleotides) under uncultured bacterium. Its description in RNAcentral is "partial 16S ribosomal RNA". It matches the Rfam family "Bacterial small subunit ribosomal RNA", at positions 524 to 776 of the family's 1533-position model. The record is from RNAcentral.